Molecule: long non-coding RNA, 2082 nt
Organism: Leptinotarsa decemlineata (Colorado potato beetle)
Lineage: Eukaryota; Metazoa; Arthropoda; Insecta; Coleoptera; Chrysomelidae
Source: RefSeq, a predicted model, not a curated record
GUUUUUUACGACACUUUCUGCUGGUUUUGCAUGAGGAUGAGAUAUUUCUAAACUGUGCUUUUCUUUACAUGUACUUUUUUCUAAUUGCGUUGGUGGUUUUUUUUCUUUUUAAUGUCGCUUAUUCACUUGCAUGAGAUUGAAGUAAUGCCAGGUUCUAGUUGAUAUUUCUCAAGUACAGAAAAAAAUCCAUUGAAUGUUGCAACUAAAGUAUCAAAUGAUAUCAAAACCAAAACAGUAAGACAAAAAAUAAGUUCAAUUGUGAGGACGAGGAUACAAAGUCCCAUCUAUUGGAUCAGCAAGGAAUUCAGGAUUGAGUUCUCUGUCGAUUCCAUGUUUUUGUGGUUGGGUUUAGCACCACUGAUGAGACCUAUGGUGGAUCGAAACCAAGAUUGUUGAUGUUUGAUCAUAAAUGCGUUGUGUUUGGACUCUCGAAUAGCACAGAAAAAAAUCUUUCACUAAAGUAAAUAUGUGAAUCAGUUCAUUUUGAAGAAUCUUCAACGGAGGGAUCGAUCUUAACUUUUGUGGGUAUUCAUUUCUAUUGAACAAGUUUCAUUUAAAAUUUACCAUGAUGGAGAGAGAUUAAAGACUGGUUAUCAUACUAAGCAGAGUUUACUCCAUAGUAUUUUUUUGAACGGAAUAGCACUCAUGAUAUAAUUUCAGAUAGCAGAUUUUUCGACAAAACGUAAACGAAUUUUUAGAUUGAAUGUAAAUUGAACGGGGAUUAUUGAAAUUGACUCAGAUAUUUUUGUUUCAAUGAAAAAAUUCUCGGUUGAUUCACACUGACUAAAACUGGCAUUACUUCAGAAUUCGCCUUGGAAUUAGCAUAUUAAUUUAUCAACUUCAAUCUACUAUUCAAUUUUAGUCUUCAAUAUAAUAAAGUUUAUGCAGUAAAAAAGAUUCGAAAAAACAUCAAAAUCAAUUGUGGUGAAGGCUACUUAUACCGGGUGAGUCAAAAAUGCUCAGCUGUAAACAAUGUUUAUAAGGCCAUUAAAGAUAUAAGCUAUUUAUGUAUUAUAAAUGAACUUUUGAUGAAAUAACAUAUUUUGUUUAUCGUCUGAAGAGAAUACUUUAUGAUCUUGAUCAAAUUUUAUUGGUUUAUAUUAAUUGGGACAAUAAACUAAAUACUUCUGUAUUACAAGUAACCCUCUCAUUAAAAAUGAUACUGACUCAUACAGAACACAUACAAAUGCAAGAAAAUCAUCAGAUAAAAUAAAAAGACGAAUUACAAAAGAGGACCUCAAUGUAGUAUAGACUGAUAACUCUCUGGCUAGAUAAAUGAAAAACAACAAGUCAAAAAUGAACAAAGAACAAAUCAGUGGCCUACAGACUAACAUGAGAAUCGUGCUCGAAAGUUUCUAUAGGAAUAUCUGAACACUAAAGAAGUUUUUGACUAAAGAAAACCAAUUCCACGUAUGUUUACAACCUUUUAGAGAACAACCACUAUGUCAACUUGGACUAUGACAUGUAUACAGAAAAAAAAAAUACAAAAAUUAAACCUGCUGCUGGAAUCUAGAAAUCAAUAAAUGCAAACAUUCAAACUCUUUCACACGACCGACAAGAAGUAAUUCAAUCAUUCUUGAACUUGCUUUCAUAAAAUGACAAUGAUUAAAAUAUUUCUAAAUUACUUGUUCAAUAUGAGAUUCCUACUUGUUGAUGAAGCUACUGUGUAGCGAAUCACGUCUUAAUUAACAUUCAUUGUGAAAAUCGUAUAACUAUGAGUAUUGUCAUUGAUAGUGUUAUUAAUUUUCAUUAAUAACAUGAGUAAAAUAAUGUUAUGUUGAGGCCAUAGAAUAAUAUGAACAUGUAUUAAAGAUGAAUACAGCUUAAUAGAAUAGAAUAGAAUAAGUGAAUAUUUGUAUAGGAUUUGUUUUAUACUUUUUGGUUACUCUAUAAAAUUUGUUAUGAAUUUUCAGUAAUUUUAUAAUAUAAUUUUUCAAAUUAGUUUUUGAACAAUGAUAAGCAACAUAGUUUACAAUGUUGCUUGUCGCUUCCAGUAUUGUAUUAUAUUUUGUGACAGAAAAGAGUAGGUAUAUGUUAUUGAAUUUUUCACAAUAACAAUGGAAUAAAAGUAUUUAUACAGUU